Long non-coding RNA from Bos taurus (domestic cattle), 391 nucleotides. Lineage: Eukaryota; Metazoa; Chordata; Mammalia; Artiodactyla; Bovidae. The record is from Ensembl.
UCUUCCUGGUGGUUCAUACAUUGCUCAGCUGAGAUGGAUUCCAGCGAGGAGGAUUCUGGGAGGUUUUUGUUUAUAUGGAUGUAUGUAUGCGUCCUCAGCUGAUCAGUUGUGUCUGACUCUUUGUGACCGAAUGGACUGAAGCCCCCAGGCUCCUCUGUCCAUGGGAUUUUCCAGAAGUUCACCAAGAAGAUCACCUACGAGGAGCUCGUGGAGGGCACGGGCGGCCUGGAGGAGGACACAGCCCUUCCCGAGGGUCUGCAGGGCUGGUGUGGGGGGCCCGCCGCAGGAGAGCCCAGCCUAGUGCCUCCGCCUGGAGAGCAGCCUCGGGGACCCCCAGGAAGCAAACUGAAGCGCAUGUAACCCGAAGCAAUGGCACCCCACUCCAGUACUC